RNAcentral lists this ribosomal RNA (492 nucleotides) under uncultured bacterium. RNAcentral's name for it is "partial 16S ribosomal RNA". It matches the Rfam family "Bacterial small subunit ribosomal RNA", at positions 29 to 507 of the family's 1533-position model. The record is from RNAcentral.
AGUGAACGCUGGCGGUAGGCCUAACACAUGCGAGUCGAACGGCAGCACAGUAAGAGCUUGCUCUUACGGGUGGCGAGUGGCGGACGGGUGAGGAAUACAUCGGAAUCUACUUUUUCGUCGGGGAUAACGUAGGGAAACUUACGCUAAUACCGCAUACGACCUACGGGUGAAAGCAGGGGAUCUUCGGACCUUGCGCGAUUGAAUGAGCCGAUGUCGGAUUAGCUAGUUGGCGGGGUAAAGGCCCACCAAGGCGACGAUCCGUAGCUGGUCUGAGAGGAUGAUCAGCCACACUGGAACUGAGACACGGUCCAGACUCCUACGGGAGGCAGCAGUGGGGAAUAUUGGACAAUGGGCGCAAGCCUGAUCCAGCCAUACCGCGUGGGUGAAGAAGGCCUUCGGGUUGUAAAGCCCUUUUGUUGGGAAAGAAAAGCAGCAGGUUAAUACCCCGCUGUUCUGACGGUACCCAAAGAAUAAGCACCGGCUAACUUCGUG